Molecule: non-coding RNA, 42 nt
Filed under: Trypanosoma brucei brucei
Lineage: Eukaryota; Euglenozoa; Kinetoplastea; Trypanosomatida; Trypanosomatidae
Source: RNAcentral
AAUCAAUAUAAAUGAUAAGUUCACUGUAAGGAUAUGAUAGAA